Pteropus alecto (black flying fox) is the source of this 1152-nucleotide long non-coding RNA. RefSeq lists it as uncharacterized. The record is from RefSeq and is a predicted model, not a curated record. The transcript is spliced from 2 exons. Lineage: Eukaryota; Metazoa; Chordata; Mammalia; Chiroptera; Pteropodidae.
GUGGAUGCUGCCCAAUUCAAAUGAUUUUUGUUGAAAUCAAAUCUUAAACUAAGACAUAUUUAAAAUAUCUUUUAACAGUUCUGGCAUCAGAAGAAGAAAAUGAAGGACACUUGUAAUAGCACCCAGGAGCAAUAAGCAACCAGGGAAAGAUCUGUGGAACCUGAUAUUCAGAGCCUGAUAAGGAACUGUUUUUUAGGCCUUCUCCCCGAAAGCUAAAAUGAAACUAUAUAACCAGAGGGAAAGAAAAACAUUCUGAAGACAUUUGUGGAAGGAUUUACUAAAACAUUCCAAAGACACACAGCUCUAAAUCUAGAACAUAAGAAUCUUUUAAUUUCUAUCUUAUUUGAAGAUCUUCUCCCUGAUAUAAAGCAGCAAGUUGAAGAUAACACAACUAGAUGGGUGGGUCAGCCUCCAUAUCACUUAGGUUGCAACCCAAUUGUUUGAGAAAUUAAAACAACUGUACUUUGUCUUACAAACUGAGUCUUUAUAAGAAUAGAAAUGCAGCUCUAGACACAAUUCAAAGCCCACCUAUCCUUUUACCAAUCCUAAUAUAUCCCUAUUCAUCUCAAAAAGCUUGCAGAUAUUGGAAAAGAUCUAGACUUAGAGAACAAAAGUCCUUUUGUUGGUAGAAUUUUCAUUCUUUGUGCCUUUUGAGAUAUAAAUAUUCAACCAGUCUCCAAGAACCAGGUAAUUCCUAUCAAAAAGGGGGGUGGGGGGUGGGGUAGGGUGCAAAACUAAAACUAAAGACCGUUUUGAAAACUAGGCCUAAGAAAAAUCUUAAAAGUCUAUUUUACAAAUUAGUUACAAGCUUUAGCUAUCUUUGCAGGUAAUCUUAUUUCAUCUGCCAGAAACAUGAUUUGGAUCCAACUGUUCUUUUAUAAACUAGUGAGUUCUGUAUUCUACCUGCCAAAAUUUUUAAAUGAAAACUUGUGUCUGUAUGUUUAUGUAUGUCUAUGUAUGUAUGUUAUAAAUGUGACUUUUAUUCUACCUCCGAGUGGUAUUGCCAAAAUACUCUAAUCAGCUUAAAGAAAAUUAAGCACUUACAUAAAUCAAGUAUAAUCUCAGAAAUAUAGAAACCAAAAUGUUUUUCAAGUUCAUGUGAUCUAAGAUAAUUUUUGGUGAAUAAAAGCUAGUUUAAGUUUGUUUAAUUAA